CCUACGGGUGGCAGCAGUGGGGAAUAUUGGGCAAUGGAGGAAACUCUGACCCAGCAACGCCGCGUGAAGGAUGAAGGUCUUCGGAUUGUAAACUUCUGUCGUGAGGGAUGAAGAAUGACGGUACCUCGUAAGAAAGCCCUGGCAAACUACGUGCCAGCAGCCGUGGCAAUACGUAGGGGGCGAGCGUUGUCCGGAAUGACUGGGCGGAAAGGGAGUGUAGGGGUGAUAGUAAGUUAUGUAGGAAAGCCCAGGGUUCAACCGCGGAAUUGCACAUAAAACUGGUAAGCUGGAGUGAGGGAGAGGUAAGUGGAAUUCCAGGUGAAGCGGUGGAAUGCGUAGAUAUCGGGAGGAACACCAGAGGCGAAGGCGACUUACUGGACUGUAACUGACGCUGAGGCUCGAAAGCGUGGGGAGCAAACAGGAUUAGAUACCCCGGUAGUC
RNAcentral lists this ribosomal RNA (441 nucleotides) under uncultured bacterium. RNAcentral's name for it is "partial 16S ribosomal RNA". It matches the Rfam family "Bacterial small subunit ribosomal RNA", at positions 338 to 795 of the family's 1533-position model. The record is from RNAcentral.